This 464-nucleotide ribosomal RNA is filed under the name Vreelandella stevensii. RNAcentral describes it as "partial 16S ribosomal RNA". It matches the Rfam family "Bacterial small subunit ribosomal RNA", at positions 339 to 795 of the family's 1533-position model. Lineage: Bacteria; Pseudomonadati; Pseudomonadota; Gammaproteobacteria; Oceanospirillales; Halomonadaceae. The record is from RNAcentral.
CUAGGGGUGGCAGCAGUGGGGAAUAUUGGACAAUGGGCGAAAGCCUGAUCCAGCCAUGCCGCGUGUGUGAAGAAGGCCUUCGGGUUGUAAAGCACUUUCAGUGGGGAAGAAAGCCUUGGGGCUAAUACCCUCGAGGAAGGACAUCACCCACAGAAGAAGCACCGGCUAACUCCGUGCCAGCAGCCGCGGUAAUACGGAGGGUGCGAGCGUUAAUCGGAAUUACUGGGCGUAAAGCGCGCGUAGGCGGUCUGAUAAGCCGGUUGUGAAAGCCCCGGGCUCAACCUGGGAACGGCAUCCGGAACUGUCAGGCUAGAGUGCAGGAGAGGAAGGUAGAAUUCCCGGUGUAGCGGUGAAAUGCGUAGAGAUCGGGAGGAAUACCAGUGGCGAAGGCGGCCUUCUGGACUGACACUGACGCUGAGGUGCGAAAGCGUGGGUAGCAAACAGGAUUAGAUACCCUGGUAGUC